AAUAGCCUAACGGCUGAACCAGCAACUUGGGGGAAUGAGCUUCUAAAAAGAAGCGAAAGAUUAUAUCUGAUAAAGUUCUAGAUAAAGAUUGAUUAUGACAGUUUAUUAUCUAUAUGUCUUGGCUAAAUUUUGUGCCAGCAGCCGCGGUAAUACAAAGGAGACUAGUGUUAUUCAUCUUUAUUAGGUUUAAAGGGUACCUAGACAGCUUAAACAGCCUCCGCAAGAGGUUAAGGUUAGCUAGAGUUUUAUGUAAAAGGAAAAUGAAGAACUAAAUAUGUAGAGAUUUAAUUUUUUGAUAUUUUUAGGACUGAUAAAGGCGAAAGCAUACCUUUAUGUAAAAACUGACGUUGAGGGACGAAGGCAUUGUGUAACGAACAGGAUUAGAUACCCUAGUAGUCUUUGCAGAAAAUGAUGAAUGCCAUAAGUCAGAAUUAUUUGGUUUAUAAAUGAAAGUGUAAGCAUUCCACCUCAAGAGUAAUGUGGCAACGCAGGAACUGAAAUCAUUAGACCGUAUCUGAAAAUAGUAGUGAAGUAUGUUGUUUAAAUCGAUGGUCCGCGAAAAACCUUACCACAACUUGUAUAUUAAUUUCUUGAAUUAAUCACACGCGUUGCAUGGUUGUCUUAAGUUGAUGUCGUGAGAUUUGGUUUUCCAUUAAUUAACUAAAACCCUUUCUUUAUUUAUUAUUAUAAAGUAGUUCUCCGUUACACAGGAUAAGAUAAGAGGGAUUAAGACAAAUCGUCAUGGCCGGAAUAUUGUGGGCUACAGACGUGCCACACGAGCUUAGACAAAAGGAUGCAAAAAUGUGAAUUUUAGCUAAUCCUUAAAUUAAGAUAAUUUUUAU
RNAcentral lists this ribosomal RNA (842 nucleotides) under Acrocordia cavata. RNAcentral describes it as "SSU rRNA". It matches the Rfam family "Bacterial small subunit ribosomal RNA", at positions 370 to 1296 of the family's 1533-position model. Lineage: Eukaryota; Fungi; Ascomycota; Dothideomycetes. The record is from RNAcentral.